Molecule: long non-coding RNA, 2759 nt
Organism: Triplophysa rosa
Lineage: Eukaryota; Metazoa; Chordata; Actinopteri; Cypriniformes; Nemacheilidae
Exons: 7
Source: RefSeq, a predicted model, not a curated record
GGGGCUGUAAAUGGCUGCGAAACUCAUCAUCGUCCCAAAAGCUUCCUCGCGUCGUUCUUAUUCAAGACUCGAGACAGGAGUGCGUGUGCGACGUGCCGUACGGAGGAAAAGUUACUUCUCAUUGCUGAGGCUUCCGGCUGCAGACGAUGAACAAAGAUGAGCAUCUCUGGGACUUUUCCCAGUGGGCUGGUCCACCAGAUUUGCAUAGACAUCGUGAUAUUCCCAGAGACACAACAGCAACGCCUCGGCGCUCGACUCCAUUCACAGACCAGAGGUGAGCGUCGCUCUUUUUGGAAAAUGAACUUUCGGCAGCAGGUGAGGUUUGUUGUCCAUCACUUGAGAUGAAAUGAAGCAGAAGAGAUUGUUUUUAGACUUGUUUUCGACGUGUCUGUCGACCUUCGCGGUGCAAACAUAACAGGAGUGCUAUUGAUUUUUGCCAGCAGGAAAUCACUUUGUUGAGGAUGUGUGGUAUCCGGAAACAUGGUGUCUAUCUCCGAGGCAUUUUGUGGCGUAGCGCACCAAGAUAAGUCAUCUGCUCUCUUCAAGUUGUGGUACUUUAAAAGGGUGAUUUCAAACACUUUAUUCUGUUUGAUUUUUUCCUGAGGUACACAUAGCUAGUCGUGUUUUUUACCAAAACAAAACAAGUGAAAAAAUUCAUUUCCUCCAGCCUAAUUAGAUCUACAGCUAUUUCGGCAGCAAAUAAAUCUGGAAUCUAAAUGUGAAAUUAUUGCAUUUUUGUUACAUCAGAUAAAAAAAAUCACACUUUUAAAAAGAUCAAAAUUAUCUAGCCAAACAAACUUAUGGUUAACAAACCAACACAAAACAUCUCCUUCCUCUUGUUCUUUCCUUCAGGUGAUGGCUCGUCCAGACGGAUCAUAAGUCUUGUCUCAGCUAAGGUCACCUUUCCUGUCCCGGCGCUGAGAGUCGUCCAAUAACACGCUGCCAGAUUCACAGCGAAACCCUGUCAUUCUGGAUCUCCGAGCCAAUGCGACAGCACGCGUGUGCGUGUGAGCGGCCAGCUGUCAGCGGACGACGCAAAUAUCGGCAUGACCAGAGGAGCCGCCGUGUCCGCUGCAACCCCUGAGUCUGCGUGCCGUGACAGCACCAUGUGGGACAGACCCCAGGGAAGGCAGGAGAUGCACAUGGCAACAGGCCUGGACAAAUCGCCUGGAGGAGUCUGAGUCGUAUACGUGUUGGUGUCAUGACCCGGUGCAGCUUGGACCAGUGCCACUGGAACACACACACACGCAUCACUGAAAACCAUUGUCCUCUCAUAAAUUCCUUUCGCUGUGGGCGACCGAACUGUCCGGCUGCGUUGUCAUCUCCAGCACCCAAAACCUAUUUCGUACAUGUCAUCUGGAUUUGUGGAAGGCUCGGCUAUUCUGUUACAUUAAGGAAUGGGAGAGCUCAGAGCUGACAGCGGUGAGGUCUGUACCUGACAGUAGAGACGCUCUCAUAAAGGUUGAAAUUUUCAUGUGGUGCUGGGAUGUGAAUAUGGAUGUUGAGAAUCAGGGCUGGAUUGGUAAUCGGGCACACCGGGCAUUUGCUCCCAGUGGGCAGUGGGCCGGAACGGCAAUGAACGAAGGGUGGACCCCCAGAACGCGGAAUGCAGUUGCGGACGGUCCGGAACGUAACUGCAGACAGAAGCAGGCGCGAAGGAGCCGGAAAACCCGGAACGCAAUCACGUACGGACCAAACCGAUGAACCGCUUGACUAAGAAGUCCAGGACUGCAUUUUAAAUGAACAUUUAUGCAUUUGGCAGACGCUUUUAUCCAAAGCAACUUACAUUGUUUCUAUACAACUUAAAUGUACUAUACAUUUGUUUCUGACUAUGUGCAAUCCCCUGGGAUCGAACCCAUGACCUUGGCGUUGCUAGCUCCAUGCUCUAACCACUGAGCCACAGGAAAGCAAACUUUUUGGUCCCUAUCCGGGCCUGUGGAGAUUUACAAGUGUUUCUGAAGUUCGUCAUUUUGUACAAUGUAAGAAUAGCUUUGCGUAAAUCUUUCUAAGACAUGGCACAUAUGCCUCUUACAGUUUGAAGAAGAGAUCGGUAACACUUCACUUAAAGCAUAUAAGUGUAAUGCUUUAUAAAAGUAGUUUUAAUGUAUUAAUUAUGCCUUGUGAUGCACAUAUUCUCAUGAAUAAUUGUACCAACAGUUAAAGGCGGGGUGUCCGAUUUCUCUUAGCAGUUGUUGAUGUUCAAAUCACCAAACAAACACACCCCUACCCCUAUCUUACGCUUUCGUCAGCGCUCGACUGGACUAAUGUCCGUCCUGUGCACUGUGCACCUUACUGCUGAUUGGCUACAAGGUUGUUGUGGUACUCGGCCCGACUUUGUCUAAACAAGCGAAAUUCGGAAAUUGGUUACCCCACCUUUAAUACAUUAUUAUAACAUCAAUUCAUUGUUAUACUUUGCAUUUUUAUAUGGUUAUAAUUCUUUCCAACAACAACAUUUAAUGUAUUACAACACACAAUAUGAACAAUUAUAAUGCAUCAUUCCCUUUAAUAACCCUUCCAAGAGAGUGUUACCCUGAGCUCAGAGUUUCCAAGAAUCCAAAGUCUGUAAUCGAAGAGAUUUCAGAGACGAACUCAGAUAUUUCCCAUUUACUUUCAUAAAUACUGGAUUUUCGUAAAUAUCCAUAAUCAUUUUCCAGUGCUACAUGUAUUGUACUGUAUGUCAACAACUGACUGAUUUAUUUUCUUUAUUUAAGGACAUUUUAGUAGAAACAUGUCUAUAUUUCUAUUAAACAAAGAAGAAU